GACGAACGCUGGCGGCGUGCUUAACACAUGCAAGUCGAACGGUAAGGCCCUUCGGGGUACACGAGUGGCGAACGGGUGAGUAACACGUGGGUGAUCUGCCCUGCACUUCGGGAUAAGCCCGGGAAACUGGGUCUAAUACCGGAUAGUACUGCGCGGUGCAUGCCGUGUGGUGGAAAGAUUUAUCGGUGCAGGAUGGGCCCGCGGCCUAUCAGCUUGUUGGUGGGGUAAUGGCCUACCAAGGCGACGACGGGUAGCCGGCCUGAGAGGGCGACCGGCCACACUGGGACUGAGACACGGCCCAGACUCCUACGGGAGGCAGCAGUGGGGAAUAUUGCACAAUGGGCGCAAGCCUGAUGCAGCGACGCCGCGUGAGGGAUGACGGCCUUCGGGUUGUAAACCUCUUUCAGCAGGGACGAAGCGCAAGUGACGGUACCUGCAGAAGAAGCACCGGCCAACUACGUGCCAGCAGCCGCGGUAAUACGUAGGGUGCAAGCGUUGUCCGGAAUUACUGGGCGUAAAGAGCUCGUAGGCGGUUUGUCGCGUCGUCUGUGAAAACCAGCAGCUCAACUGUUGGCUUGCAGGCGAUACGGGCAGACUUGAGUAUUUCAGGGGAGACUGGAAUUCCUGGUGUAGCGGUGAAAUGCGCAGAUAUCAGGAGGAACACCGGUGGCGAAGGCGGGUCUCUGGGAAAUAACUGACGCUGAGGAGCGAAAGCGUGGGUAGCGAACAGGAUUAGAUACCCUGGUAGUCCACGCCGUAAACGGUGGGCGCUAGGUGUGGGUUUCCUUCCACGGGAUCCGUGCCGUAGCUAACGCAUUAAGCGCCCCGCCUGGGGAGUACGGCCGCAAGGCUAAAACUCAAAGGAAUUGACGGGGCCCGCACAAGCGGCGGAGCAUGUGGAUUAAUUCGAUGCAACGCGAAGAACCUUACCUGGGUUUGACAUACACCGGAAAGCCGUAGAGAUACGGCCCCCCUUGUGGUCGGUGUACAGGUGGUGCAUGGCUGUCGUCAGCUCGUGUCGUGAGAUGUUGGGUUAAGUCCCGCAACGAGCGCAACCCUUGUCCUGUGUUGCCAGCGGAUAAUGCCGGGGACUCGCAGGAGACUGCCGGGGUCAACUCGGAGGAAGGUGGGGACGACGUCAAGUCAUCAUGCCCCUUAUGUCCAGGGCUUCACACAUGCUACAAUGGCCGGUACAGAGGGCUGCGAUACCGUGAGGUGGAGCGAAUCCCUUAAAGCCGGUCUCAGUUCGGAUCGGGGUCUGCAACUCGACCCCGUGAAGUCGGAGUCGCUAGUAAUCGCAGAUCAGCAACGCUGCGGUGAAUACGUUCCCGGGCCU
RNAcentral lists this ribosomal RNA (1336 nucleotides) under uncultured bacterium. RNAcentral describes it as "bacterial SSU rRNA". It matches the Rfam family "Bacterial small subunit ribosomal RNA", at positions 28 to 1381 of the family's 1533-position model. The record is from RNAcentral.